UACAGAGGGUGCAAGCGUUGUUCGGAAUUAUUGGGCGUAAAGGGUGCGUAGGCGGUGCGGUAAGUCUGUAGUGAAAUCUCUGGGCUCAACUCAGAGUCUGCUAUAGAAACUGCCGUGCUUGAGUGUGGGAGAGGUGAGUGGAAUUCCCGGUGUAGCGGUGAAAUGCGUAGAUAUCUGGAGGAACAUCAGUGGCGAAGGCGACACCCUGGACUCAUACUG
This 219-nucleotide ribosomal RNA is filed under the name uncultured prokaryote. RNAcentral's name for it is "partial 16S ribosomal RNA". It matches the Rfam family "Bacterial small subunit ribosomal RNA", at positions 524 to 742 of the family's 1533-position model. The record is from RNAcentral.